UACGUAGGGUGCAGGCGUUAAUCGGAAUUACUGGGCGUAAAGCGUGCGCAGGCGGUCUGCUAAGAGAGGUGUGAAAUCCCUGGGCUCAACCCAGGAACUGCGUCCGAUACUGGUUGGCUUGAAUCCGGGAGAGGGAUGUGGAAUUCCAGGUGUAGCGGUGAAAUGCGUAGAUAUCUGGAGGAACACCGGUGGCGAAGGCGGCAUCCUGGACCGGUAUUGACGCUGAGGCGCGAAAGCCAGGGGAGCAAACGGG
This 253-nucleotide ribosomal RNA is filed under the name uncultured bacterium. Its description in RNAcentral is "partial 16S ribosomal RNA". It matches the Rfam family "Bacterial small subunit ribosomal RNA", at positions 524 to 776 of the family's 1533-position model. The record is from RNAcentral.